This 79-nucleotide non-coding RNA is filed under the name uncultured Caproiciproducens sp. RNAcentral's name for it is "Cyclic di-GMP-I riboswitch". It matches the Rfam family "c-di-GMP-I riboswitch aptamer". Rfam says of the family: GEMM was predicted in a large-scale screen for bacterial structured RNA regulatory elements. Genes associated with GEMM are involved in a diverse array of functions, including chemotaxis regulation, signal transduction, secretion and chitin. Lineage: Bacteria; Bacillati; Bacillota; Clostridia; Eubacteriales; Acutalibacteraceae. The record is from RNAcentral.
AUGAAAAAAGCAAACCCGCCAAAAGACGGGGACGCAAAGCUUCGGGUCUAAGGCUUUUGCUAAGACAGCCGGGUUGCCA